CCAACGGGUGGCUGCAGUGGGGAAUAUUGGACAAUGGGCGAAAGCCUGAUCCAGCCAUGCCGCGUGUGUGAAGAAGGCCUUCGGGUUGUAAAGCACUUUCAGUGGGGAAGAAAGCCUUGGGGCUAAUACCCUCGAGGAAGGACAUCACCCACAGAAGAAGCACCGGCUAACUCCGUGCCAGCAGCCGCGGUAAUACGGAGGGUGCGAGCGUUAAUCGGAAUUACUGGGCGUAAAGCGCGCGUAGGCGGUCUGAUAAGCCGGUUGUGAAAGCCCCGGGCUCAACCUGGGAACGGCAUCCGGAACUGUCAGGCUAGAGUGCAGGAGAGGAAGGUAGAAUUCCCGGUGUAGCGGUGAAAUGCGUAGAGAUCGGGAGGAAUACCAGUGGCGAAGGCGGCCUUCUGGACUGACACUGACGCUGAGGUGCGAAAGCGUGGGUAGCAAACAGGAUUAGAUACCCCAGUAGUC
RNAcentral lists this ribosomal RNA (465 nucleotides) under Vreelandella stevensii. Its description in RNAcentral is "partial 16S ribosomal RNA". It matches the Rfam family "Bacterial small subunit ribosomal RNA", at positions 338 to 795 of the family's 1533-position model. Lineage: Bacteria; Pseudomonadati; Pseudomonadota; Gammaproteobacteria; Oceanospirillales; Halomonadaceae. The record is from RNAcentral.